GAACGCAUAUUGCGCCCUCUGGUAUUCCGGAGGGCAUGCCUGUCCGAGCGUCAUUACUAUCCUCAAGCGCAGCUUGUUUGUUGAGCCAUUGUCCCUUAAUGGACAGGCUCGAAAUGCAGUGGCGAUGCCGAGUUUGGUGCCCGAGUGUAUGGAGCUUUGUCACACGCUUUGGUGGCCCAGCCGGCAUUCUGUCUUUAUAUCAUCUAAGAUUUGACCCCGGAUCAGGUAGGAAUACCCGCUGAACUUAAG
This 249-nucleotide unclassified non-coding RNA is filed under the name uncultured Eurotiales. Its description in RNAcentral is "sequence contains 5.8S rRNA gene". The stretch from base 1 to 53 matches the Rfam family "5.8S ribosomal RNA", at positions 102 to 154 of the family's 154-position model. The record is from RNAcentral. Lineage: Eukaryota; Fungi; Ascomycota; Eurotiomycetes; Eurotiales.